UAUUCAUCUUCUGUUUGGGCAGAAAUAAAAAAUAACAUGUGGGGAAAAAAGUGUCCUGGAAACAUCCAGUAUUGCUAUAAUAAUGGUAAGCAAUUUCACAUGCAGGGACUCAGGAUGCAAUGCCCAAUCUCCUCCUCCUAUCUGGAUCUGGCUCCCAUUUUAUUAGUCACAGAAGGCAAAAGCAUCUUGCUUUCAACAGAGAACCCAUUUGGCCUUGGCUUAUCCAAUGAAGAAAUCCAUUUAGUACAAUUUUUUAAAUUACGUUUCACAUAUGACUCAAACUUCCAAAUUACAACCUCACUUCAUCAGUGAUUUUCACUAAUUGCCAGUGGGAGGUCUCAGAUACAGCUUCACUGUUCGGGGGAACAAGAAAUAGUCUGUAAGACAGAUGGCAGCUUCAUCUCUUCCUCGGGGGCAGGUCCGCAGGCUGUCAGCCUCUUUGAUGACAAGGCCGAGGCACUUAUACCUCCUGGAGCCCAUCUGACUUCCCUGAAGCACUGAGAGGAGAGUGGCUUAACUGCCCCCCUCUAGAAGGUGGAACCAGCAGAGAGCCAGGGCCCACACACAACUGACCCCCCGUCCUUGAGGACUGAGGACCCCGGGGAGUGAGAAGGUUGGCCCGUGGCACCCAACCCACCUCGGCAGGCAACUUUUCCAGGAGGAAGACCGGAUUCCUAAGGCUCAGACAGUGAUCUCUUUUGUAACAGCUGCAGAGAGAUCCAGUGGAGGCUCACGGAUGGGGGAACAGUUUUCCUCCAUGGUUUUGGGUUCCCCAAUUUCUAAUUUCAGGGAUCACUGGUAAGAGAGGUCUCAAAGAGAGCAAUCAGAAAUUUAUCCUAGUAGAUUAACUGUCACCCAAACAACUCUUCUCCACGUUCACCAAGAACAGAGCCAGAUGAAAAAUGCCCAAAGUAAAACCAGAGAGAGUGAGCCGAUAUCGAGAGAAUGGUACCCUGGAGAGAGGGGGGUUCUCAACCUCACGUGAAACUUUCAGGUAUAAUUAAAUCAACACAUUCUCCCAAAGAAUUGACAUGACAGCUGCAGACAGAUGAAAGAAUAGGAGGGACCAGAUAAUUCAGGCUUCCUAUUACAGUCAUUUAGAGAUGGAUUUAGCGCUAGACAAGGGCUGACUUAGUUUAAAAGUUUAAUUUUACAUUAGCUGUAAUGCGGACACUCUUUUAGCAGCCCACAUGGAUUGUUUUAACUGCAAAUCAUUGAUUGGGAGUUGCCAAAAGUACCUGAAGUCUUAGUUUGUCCAUGUCUCCAUUUAACUGCUAUAAAAUUGAUUAAUGCAUAUUUAAGGUUCUCAGUUUGUAAAACAGAGGUGCUGUUUAAUGAAUUAUUUUUUAACCCAAUGUCAAUACAAAAGGUGUUUUUCUUUUUCUUUUUUCUAAAUUUUGGUUUGGGCUGCAAAUAGCUAUCAGCAGACAAUCUUAUAUGGUCCAGGUUUUAGAGAGGUGACUGCCCAGAAUCCCACUCGAGGCAGAGGCCAUAUCUAACGUACAGUGAAGAGCAUCCCCACAGAGCAGGGUUGAAAGGAAAGGCCCCGAGGGUCCAGCAGCAUCAAAAUAAGGGAUAAGAAGUUGAGAAAUGUGGGGAACCUCUGUGUAGCUUUGUUGUGCCCCUUACAAACUGUGGGUAGAGAUGCCAAGUACGCACAUUGAGAAGGGGAUGAAUUCCAUCAAAACAAAUUCUUGAGACACCAAGGCCAACUGGGAGCUUCCGGAGCAGAAGAUCCCAGUGAUGAGGUCUUGGAACACCACCAGCCUCAACGCCCAGGAGCCCACGAUCACGUGGAGGUCCUCCCUCCCACCUACGUGCCAUCCCAGGAUCACCACAUUUCUUGCAGGGAGCCCUCUGCUGCAACUUCUCAGAAGCAUGAGCGUGUGCCAAAAUCACCUUUAAAAUUAAAUAAUUACUGAGUAUUUGUUAAAAGCUGGUCGUUUUAUAAGUUUUCUACAACCAAUAAUCAAAUGAAAUAGGUGUCAAUUCCCCAUAGAAAAAUGUCUGUUCUUGUUAGAAAUGGGAUGGAAGUAGUGAGGUAGCAGAGGGGUUCUUUUACUGGAAGUAAAAUAAUGGUAAAAACGACAUGGUCGUGUUCUAUCACAAUUAGAUCUAAUUACAUUUUAUUGCCAUAAUCAAGGGGCACAUGCUUUGGAGAGACUGAGUUUUUACCAUCGCCCCAGAGUAGCAGGCCUUCGCCCCCAUUACCUUCAAGUCACUUACAGCUAAAACCAUCCCGGAAUAUCCGGUGCAGACUUACACGUUAACUAGUUCCUUGGAGAGAGGGGCUGCGAGCAGUCUGAGAAAGCAAAUGCCAUCUGGCGCAGUGUGACUUCUCGUUAGCAGUUUAUCCGAACGCCAUCGGCUUGUUUCCCACACGUGCCUCAAUCACCUUCUUCAGAAUAAAUCGCCUCUCCCGUCAAACCUGCUUUUCCGUGUCUUCUACACAGUAGGGUUACAGGUGCUUAUUACUUCGUGCAGCAGGUCCUCCUGAGGUCUUCCCUCAUUUCUCAGCUUUCAUAUUUGAUGCAACAUCUAUAAAGCCCGUGACAUAAAUCCUCAGUCGGUGCAGGGAGGGAGGGGGGAGGAAACAGACUCCUGCAACUGCCACCCGGUGACCCAGGCAGGACCCAGCUCCCAGCCUGGAAGAGUCCACCGUGGAAAGCUGUUCUGUCAGCACAGAAAAAUUUUAGAAAGGUGGCAUGGGGAGUCGUUCCUAGAACACAGUCAUAAGGCUAUCACGGCACCUGGAGAGAGGUGAGUCACUGCACGUGGGUCGUCCUGAGAGGCAAAGGUUUGCGUCCAUCCCCCUGCACCCCGCCGACAGCAUCAGCUAACACGUCUUCUCUGGGUUCUCACCUGGGACGGGCAGCCCUUCUUCUGAGGAUCAAGCAGAAAGCCCGUGAGUGUCAGCUCCCUCUUCAUUGAGAAGCCCCCUCCCCUCCCCACAUCCACUGGUCCCCAGAUCCUGUCCAUUGAGCCUCCUAAAUUCCUGUUAAGUGGACCAUUUUCCUCUCACCCUCUAAUUAAAGCCACCAUCAUACUGGACUCGGGCUACUGAAGAGGCUCCCAAACUGGUCUCCCUGCCUCCGGCCUUGUCUUCCUUCCCCCCAUUCACGCUGCAGAACAGAUGGUUUGCAGAAUCCCACAGAUGCAAGCCCCUGACACCGGACAGACCCUGGCCGGACAGAACGCUUCCAGCUGCUCCAAGCUGUCUCGCACCCCAGCCCUUCAGCACACAGCUCCCACUGCCUGUCCCACCGCCCCACCUAGGCCCAUUCCUUCCCUCAGAUGUCCACAUAAUGGCCCUCCUGUUUAAGGCCUUCCCUGAACCCCCCUUGCCACCUCCCUCUCUUCCCACAUGGAGCCUUCAGUAACCCUCCUCCCACUUCAGUGCAGUUCCUUUGCGACUUCCCAUCUUCUUUAGCACAACGGAAGAGCACACCUCUGAA
This is a non-coding RNA of Vicugna pacos (alpaca), 3455 nucleotides long. NCBI's taxonomy places the organism in Eukaryota, Metazoa, Chordata, Mammalia, Artiodactyla, Camelidae. The record is from RefSeq and is a predicted model, not a curated record.